AGUUCGUAGGUGACCUGCGGAGGAUCAUUAUUGAAUGUUUUGAAGCAGUUGAGCUGGUCUUAACUAGACAUGUGCUUGCUGUUUCUAUUCAUCUCAUCCACCUGUGCACUUAUUGUAGAGCUUUGAGGAGAUGGCCUGGGUUUAACCACCUAGGUUCAGAACUCAAGUUCUAUGUAUUAUAUACUCUAUGAAUGUCUUGAAUGUCUUUUACUGGGACUUAACUGGCCCUUUAAACUUUAUACAACUUUCAGCAACGGAUCUCUUGGCUCUCGCAUCGAUGAAGAACGCAGCGAAAUGCGAUAAGUAAUGUGAAUUGCAGAAUUCAGUGAAUCAUCGAAUCUUUGAACGCACCUUGCGCCUCUUGGUAUUCCGAGAGGCAUGCCUGUUUGAGUGUCAUUAAAUUCUCAACUUCAAAAGCUUUGUCUUUUUGAAGCUUGGAUGUGAAGGCUUGCUGGCGUUUUAAAUGUUCAGCUCCUUUGAAAUGCAUUAGUGGACCCGUUUGUGUUCAUCCUUAGUGUGAUAAUUAUCUACGCUAUGGUUUUGAAUGCAUGCUCAUUAGAAUCCUUCAAGCUGUUUCACAGUCUUGGCGUGGAGAGUUGCAUUUACUUGCUCUUUCUGUCUUUUGAGUCAGGAUUGUCUGCUUCUAACCGUCUGCCUCUGUAGACAAACUUGAACCAUUUGACCUCAAAUCAGGUAGGACUACCCGCUUAACUUAAGCAUAUCAAUAAGCGGAGGA
This 736-nucleotide ribosomal RNA is filed under the name uncultured Agaricales. RNAcentral describes it as "eukaryotic LSU rRNA". The stretch from base 243 to 396 matches the Rfam family "5.8S ribosomal RNA". Lineage: Eukaryota; Fungi; Basidiomycota; Agaricomycetes; Agaricales. The record is from RNAcentral.